RNAcentral lists this microRNA precursor (67 nucleotides) under Daphnia pulex (common water flea). The record is from RNAcentral. Lineage: Eukaryota; Metazoa; Arthropoda; Branchiopoda; Diplostraca; Daphniidae.
GAUGAGUGGGGAUCGUUAGUCGCGUUGAAAUUUCCUCAUGUUCGUGACUAGAUCUGACACUCGUCCA